RNAcentral lists this transfer RNA (71 nucleotides) under bacterium. RNAcentral describes it as "tRNA-Trp". It matches the Rfam family "tRNA". Rfam says of the family: Transfer RNA (tRNA) molecules are approximately 80 nucleotides in length. The record is from RNAcentral.
GGGCCUAUAGUUUAGGGGUAAAACAUCGGUCUCCAAAACCGACGUCGCAGGUUCGAUUCCUGCUGGGCCCG